CAUAGCGCUUUGGACCCACCUGACUCCAUGCCGAACUCAGUAGUGAAACGAAGCAGCGCCGAUGGUAGUGUGGGGUCUCCCCAUGUGAGAGUAGGACAUUGCCAAGC
Molecule: ribosomal RNA, 107 nt
Filed under: Salinivibrio kushneri
Lineage: Bacteria; Pseudomonadati; Pseudomonadota; Gammaproteobacteria; Vibrionales; Vibrionaceae
Source: RNAcentral